Molecule: long non-coding RNA, 397 nt
Filed under: Homo sapiens (human)
Lineage: Eukaryota; Metazoa; Chordata; Mammalia; Primates; Hominidae
Description: non-protein coding lnc-OR4E1-8:2
Source: RNAcentral
AGCACAGAGAUAAGUGGCUGAGUCUUCAGGUUUAGGGGCUGUGAUGUGCAGAAAGCUUUCCUUCUUUGUUAAUGUGGCUUUUAGCCUUUCUUUCUCCUUUUCUUCCCCAGCUGAAUACAGGGUGAAGAGGAAUUCAGGGCCUUUCCCAGGAUCUUGCCUAUACCAGAACAGCCCUCUUAAACCGCUGACUGUGUAACUGCAGUUGAGACUGCUACUCUCUCCCUCCUGGAGUCUCAGGGCCUCGGGACUCUGCGUCACCUGGUCUUCUCCACUCAACAGCCAAGCUGAAGCCACAAGACUAUGAAUGCACACUCCAACAUUUUCUCCAUGCUGGUAUCUCAGCCUAGAAACAAAUUACGAUAAUUCCAACCUUCUUUUCUCAGAGGCGCCACUUCUG